Molecule: ribosomal RNA, 253 nt
Filed under: uncultured bacterium
Lineage: Bacteria
Description: partial 16S ribosomal RNA
Rfam family: Bacterial small subunit ribosomal RNA
Source: RNAcentral
GACGAGCCACACAAACGUUAUUCGGAAUCACUGGGCUUAAAGGGUGCGUAGGCGGCGCGGAAAGUGGGGUGUGAAAGCCCUCGGCUCAACCGAGGAAUUGCGCUCCAAACUACCGUGCUUGAGUGAGACAGAGGUAAGCGGAACUUCGGGCGGAACGGUGAAAUGUGUUGAUAUCCGAAGGAACACCGGUGGCGAAAGCGGCUUACUGGGUCUCAACUGACGCUGAUGCACGAAAGCCAGGGUAGCAAACGGG